CGUCUUUAACCUGGUGUCUUUCCUUUGAGAAGGAGGGGUGGGAACCCAGAGAGGGACAAAGGAUUCCCGCCUUAUGCAAAAGAUAUACAAAGGGGUGGAACAGAACAAAGCAGGAGGAGCCAUCCUGAAGAAUCCCCUAGCCACCACCUGAGCUGGAACAAGAGCUGUACCAGGGGAAAGAAUUGUGCCCAGGCCUGGGAGGUGUCCAGUCUGAGGAAAAAACUUACUGAAGCAGCUCUGAGGGAAUUACAGAACUUGACGUCCAGGCAUCCAGACCUGAUGAUCGUUGUGCUAGCUCCCCCCAACACCUCUGCCAGUGGGUGUGAGGAGAAUCCCAGCUGGAAGAGUCAAUCUGUCAUGCACCUCUCUCCCUGGUUGCUCACCCUUAAGAGGGAGGAACUGCCAUCCAGUCUCUAUCCCCAUCUUAACUCUCCCCUCCUAGUGACCCACCUAACCCCCAUGGCCCCUCUGCCCAUGGGGUAUGAAAUAGAGCAGGAAUAUGAACAUCCAGGAAACACAGAGUAGCCUCCCUCUGUAUCGAGUUUGCCAAGUAGGUUUCA
Long non-coding RNA from Mauremys mutica (yellowpond turtle), 560 nucleotides. RefSeq lists it as uncharacterized. The transcript has 3 exons. The record is from RefSeq and is a predicted model, not a curated record. Lineage: Eukaryota; Metazoa; Chordata; Testudines; Geoemydidae.